RNAcentral lists this ribosomal RNA (255 nucleotides) under uncultured bacterium. RNAcentral's name for it is "partial 16S ribosomal RNA". It matches the Rfam family "Bacterial small subunit ribosomal RNA", at positions 524 to 776 of the family's 1533-position model. The record is from RNAcentral.
UACGGGGGGGGGCAAGCGUUGUUCGGAAUUACUGGGCGUAAAGGGCGCGUAGGCGGUCGUGACAAGUCACUUGUGAAAUCUCCGGGCUUAACUCGGAACGGUCAAGUGAUACUGUCGGACUAGAGUACAGAAGGGGCAACUGGAAUUCUCGGUGUAGCGGUGAAAUGCGUAGAUAUCGAGAGGAACACCUGCGGCGAAGGCGGGUUGCUGGGCUGAUACUGACGCUGAGGCGCGAAAGCCAGGGGAGCGAACGGG